RNAcentral lists this long non-coding RNA (463 nucleotides) under Anas platyrhynchos platyrhynchos (common mallard). Its description in RNAcentral is "lncRNA (ENSAPLG00000023768.1)". The record is from RNAcentral. Lineage: Eukaryota; Metazoa; Chordata; Aves; Anseriformes; Anatidae.
UGCCUUGAAAGCACAAACAGCCAGGUAGCCUCAGAACAAAUACCUUGAGAGGUGCCAGAAAAAAAGAUGAGAAGAGUUUUUUGUGGCUCAGAAUGAUUGAAAAGACUAUAGUGUUUUGAGCAGUUCAUUAUGUUUUCCUCUGAUCUGAGGCUGUUUGUGAAGGAAACAAAAAUUAUUACUGUAUUUCAACCUUGUUUUAACAGUAUUGACUGCACCACUGGUUUCUCCUCCUAACUGGAAUAGCAUUAUACCACUUUUGAGCUGUUACUGGGAUGCCAUUCACCUCAAAGGGAGGCAGCAAUCAAAAGUUAUGAUGUCAUCUUUCCAGGCACUAUCACAGUUCUGUAUGCAUUGUGCUAGAAUUCCUUGGGCCACGUGUUAUUUCCCUGAGGGUCGUUUCUGCACAUAUGGAGGCAAUGGGUACCUUGCUCUUGACUUCAAAUGGAGAAUGACUAAAUUCUGA